Molecule: transfer RNA, 77 nt
Filed under: Methylobacterium oryzae CBMB20
Lineage: Bacteria; Pseudomonadati; Pseudomonadota; Alphaproteobacteria; Hyphomicrobiales; Methylobacteriaceae
Description: tRNA-Und (NNN) (tRNA-Und-NNN-1-1)
Rfam family: tRNA (bases 18-74)
About the family: Transfer RNA (tRNA) molecules are approximately 80 nucleotides in length. Their secondary structure includes four short double-helical elements and three loops (D, anti-codon, and T loops).
Source: RNAcentral
UUUAAUCGGUCAUCUCAGCGCUGUUUUAUCGCCCUUUCACGGCGAAAACACGGGUUCGAUUCCCGUAGGGCGCGCCA